RNAcentral lists this ribosomal RNA (251 nucleotides) under uncultured bacterium. RNAcentral describes it as "partial 16S ribosomal RNA". It matches the Rfam family "Bacterial small subunit ribosomal RNA", at positions 524 to 776 of the family's 1533-position model. The record is from RNAcentral.
UACGUAGGGCGCAAGCGUUGUCCGGAAUUAUUGGGCGUAAGAGCUCGUAGGCGGUCUGUCGCGUCGGAUGUGAAAAUCCAGGGCUCAACCCUGGACCUGCAUUCGAUACGGGCAGACUAGAGUUCGGUAGGGGAGACUGGAAUUCCUGGUGUAGCGGUGAAAUGCGCAGAUAUCAGGAGGAACACCGGUGGCGAAGGCGGGUCUCUGGGCCGAAACUGACGCUGAGGAGCGAAAGCGUGGGAGCAAACAGG